This 516-nucleotide ribosomal RNA is filed under the name uncultured bacterium. RNAcentral's name for it is "partial 16S rRNA". The record is from RNAcentral.
UACUCCCCAGGCGGGGUACUUAUUGCGUUAACUCCGGCACAGAAGGGGUCGAUACCUCCUACACCUAGUACCCAUCGUUUACGGCCAGGAUUACCGGGGUAUCUAAUCCCGUUCACUCCCCUGGCUUUCGCGCCUCAGCGUCAGACACAGUCCAGAAAGUCGCCUUCGCCACUGGUGUUCCUCCUAAUAUCUACGCAUUUCACCGCUACACUAGGAAUUCCACUUUCCUCUCCUGCACUCAAGAAAUGUAGUUUCCAUCCCAUCACGGGGUUGAGCCCCGAACUUUUAAGACAGACUUACAUUCCCGCCUGCGCGCGCUUUACGCCCAAUAAUUCCGGACAACGCUUGCCACCUACGUAUUACCGCGGCUGCUGGCACGUAGUUAGCCGUGGCUUCCUCCUCAGGUACCGUCAUUACUUAACAUUAUUCACAUUAAGCACAUUCGUCCCUGAAGACAGAGCUUUACGAUCCGAAAACCUUCUUCACUCACGCGGCGUUGCUCCGUCAGACUUUUCG